GACGAACGCUGGCGGCGUGCCUAAUACAUGCAAGUAGAACGCUGAAGGAGGAGCUUGCUUCUCUGGAUGAGUUGCGAACGGGUGAGUAACGCGCAGGUAACCUGCCUGGUAGCGGGGGAUAACUAUUGGAAACGAUAGCUAAUACCGCAUAAUAGUAGAUGUUGCAUGACAUUUGCUUAAAAGGUGCAAUUGCAUCACUACCAGAUGGACCUGCGUUGUAUUAGCUAGUUGGUGGGGUAACGGCUCACCAAGGCGACGAUACAUAGCCGACCUGGGAGGGGGAUCGGCCACACUGGGACUGGGACACGGCCCAGACUCCUACGGGAGGCAGCAGUAGGGAAUCUUCGGCAAUGGACGGAAGUCUGACCGAGCAACGCCGCGUGAGUGAAGAAGGUUUUCGGAUCGUAAAGCUCUGUUGUAAGAGAAGAACGAGUGUGAGAGUGGAAAGUUCACACUGUGACGGUAUCUUACCAGAAAGGGACGGCUAACUACGUG
RNAcentral lists this ribosomal RNA (495 nucleotides) under uncultured bacterium. Its description in RNAcentral is "partial 16S ribosomal RNA". It matches the Rfam family "Bacterial small subunit ribosomal RNA", at positions 28 to 507 of the family's 1533-position model. The record is from RNAcentral.